Molecule: ribosomal RNA, 253 nt
Filed under: uncultured bacterium
Lineage: Bacteria
Description: partial 16S ribosomal RNA
Rfam family: Bacterial small subunit ribosomal RNA
Source: RNAcentral
UACGUAGGGGGCAAGCGUUGUCCGGAAUCAUUGGGCGUAAAGCGCGUGUAGGCGGCUCGAUAAGUCUGCUGUGAAAGUCCAAGGCUCAACCUUGGGAUGCCGGUGGAUACUGUCGAGCUCGAGUCCGGAAGAGGAGUGUGGAAUUCCUGGUGUAGCGGUGAAAUGCGCAGAUAUCAGGAGGAACACCAAUGGCGAAGGCAGCACUCUGGGACGUGACUGACGCUGAGGAGCGAAAGCCAGGGGAGCAAACGGG